This is a non-coding RNA of Podarcis lilfordi (Lilford's wall lizard), 79 nucleotides long. NCBI's taxonomy places the organism in Eukaryota, Metazoa, Chordata, Lepidosauria, Squamata, Lacertidae. The record is from the annotation of a GenBank genome assembly.
GCUUCAGCUAGGAUGACUCAGUUGGUAGAGCAUGGGGCUUUUAACCUCAGAGCCGUGAGUUUGAGCCCUACGUUGGGCA